Molecule: long non-coding RNA, 1043 nt
Organism: Dicentrarchus labrax (European seabass)
Lineage: Eukaryota; Metazoa; Chordata; Actinopteri; Moronidae
Exons: 3
Source: RefSeq, a predicted model, not a curated record
GCUGGAGACUCUGCAACUUCUACAGGUUCACCAUAGACCCUUUUCACAGCAGCUAUUUUGACAUGUAAUAGGGUAAUCACAGCUGUAAAGCUCUACAGAGGGUGGUGAAAACUGCACAGACCAUCACCAGGAUGAAGCUGCCAUCCAUGGAGGACCUCUACACCCAGCAGGAAGAAAGCCAACAGGAUCACCAACGAUCCCAAUACCCCAGCCACAAACUGUUCUACCAGCUGCUAUCAGGCAGACAUUAACACAGUAUCCGGUCCCCGCAUCAGAAUAUUUGUGCAGCUUCCUACAGAAGACUCAGAGUGUUUGUGUGCUGGCCGAUCCCGCAGGAACAGGCUCUGUGGUUUCCUCAGGGCUCUACCUCGUCCAAGAGAUUUGACAUUAAUUAGGCUAGCUGACACUAAUUACUACCACCCACUGUCGGGGAAAGGGGAGUUCUUUGGACAUCUGGCAAGCUGCUUUGGACUCAGGUCAUUCAAGGACAGGUACCUGCUGUAGUUUUAGGUGGGAGGGAGCACUGAUGGGCACAUGGGAGAGAGCGGGCCUGCCUGAUGGUGAAGCAGUUAUGGCGAGGGAAGGACGAGGGAUGUUGUGAGGGAGGAAGAGAAAGAUGGAGGUGGCUGGACGCAAAUGAAGACAGAGUUGUUGUCAUGACAAGAUUGCUCUAGAAAUGGAGAGAAAAAUCAGCUGCUAUCAGAGAGCCCCCUCCACCCCACCAGAGACUACAAUGAAGAAAUGUAGUUUUCUCAGCUCAACUCUUGGGGAUAUCGACAUAAAUAAUUCAUCAUCUCUCUGCCAUUUGAAGCUAUUAACAUAUUAAACUGUGAUGUGCAGGGCUGACUCAAGAAUCGCCUCCAGACCUUUUGAAACCUUUUGGUGUUAGGAAUAAUUACACAGACUGAAAAUACCCUUUUUUUUCCCUUUCACCCUGCAGUAAAAAUGUCACCUUGUUGUGUUUCCUACCUCAGCAGUGGUGUAGCAUGUGCUAUGUGUGCUCACACACACGCCUUUUUUUUGGUCACACUACAGAAAGUCUA